GGGGCCAGGCAACCAGCUUAGGAGAGAGGAGGCCACACUCCCUGUUCUCCAGCCCAGCCCUGCUUCCUCCCAACCCCCAGAACUCAACUUUGGUGCCAUCACUCUUAACAGCAUGGAUGCCACCAGUGAGCGUGACUUCAUGGCUGAGUUCCUGUUCUAGGCUUCAUUCUGCAUGACCCAUCUCAGCAGGAUGGCCAGGGACCUCAUCCUCUGUGGCACCAAGGAAUUCAGCUUCGUGUAGCUCUCAGAUGCCUACAGCACCAGAAGCAGCCUGAUGCCCCAGAAGAAAAACCCCGACAGCUUGGAGCUGAUCUGGAGCAAAGCAAGGGUGUGUGAUUGGGCAGGAUCCAUGGAGCAUGUAACACAUCCUGGUGCUGUUCUCAGCCUUCUAUGGCCUCUUGGUCACUGUUUCCUACCAUCUGAGCUGGCAGAGCAGUGACCCAUCUGUGUUCAUGUCCUUCAUUCAAUGCAGACUGUUUCCUAAGUUUUUACAUCAAAAUCUGGAAGAGUCAGCUGCUGAUCCUCUCCCCAAGAAGAUGAAAGAUUCUGUGAUGACUAUUCCGUUGUUCCAGCACAUUUCAUAAAAAGGGUACUCCUCCAGUAUCCUCCAACAUCCUCCUCCAGGUUGGGAGCUCUUCAUUUGUCCCAACAUCCUUAACACAUUUAUUUAGUACAUAGAGGUGCUGUUCUAGGAACUUGGAGUACACAUGUGAUCAAGAUAGACUCCAGCCUACCUUCAUGGCAUUUGCAGUGUGGCUGGGGACACCUAUGAAGAACAAAGAAAUAGACAAUGCCACGUCCUGAAGAGUCUUCUGCAAAAGCUAAUGCAGGGGAAGGGGAGGGAGGGUGGCACAUUGGGGAGGAGAUGAGGAGUGAAGGAGAUGCUAUCUCUGUCAUCGCCUCCCCUGACCAUGACUACCUGCCCCUUGCAUAAGCCUGCACCUGCAAACAUGAAGUUGAAUCCAGAAAAAAGCAGGAAGAAAUACCCUGACCUUCUCUUAUCUUCUAGUCUCCUGGCAACACCUCCCAUUGGCUGAACCCAAGAGAAGCCACCUGUUACAAGAGUCCCUGACAUACUGCACACAGGGCAGCCUCCCUGGUGCCGAGCUAAAUAAGAAGAGAUGGGUAAUGAACUAGGGUGUGAAGAACAACCAGCCAGGGAUGAUUAGCAGAAUAUUUUCUCCUAAGCUAGUGGCAUUGCUUCAGCAUGUCCAUUACAGGCUGUUUCUUUGUAUUUUGGUAUGAAUUGAUUGUUUCACAAACAGUGUGAAUCAUUUAUUUUAUGAAACUAUUUUUAAAAAUAAUCAGAUGGCCUGGUGCUCAGGGGCAGAAAAAAAGGUGACCUUGGCAUCAUGACCCCACCUGGAAAUUGGGUCUCAAAGCCACAUUUGAGGCUAAGCAGGUGCAAGCACCAGUGAAAGAGCAGAAUCCAGGAGCCCAAACACCCGAGUUCACAUUCUGCUUCAGCUACUCACCUGCAAGGUGACGUAGAGAAAGUCCCUCCUCUCCCAGCCUCAGUUUCCCCAGCAUGCAUUAGUGAUCCCUCAUGGGCUUCUCAGCUCUGA
Non-coding RNA from Callithrix jacchus (white-tufted-ear marmoset), 1565 nucleotides. NCBI's taxonomy places the organism in Eukaryota, Metazoa, Chordata, Mammalia, Primates, Cebidae. The record is from RefSeq and is a predicted model, not a curated record.